GACGAACGCUGGCGGCGUGCUUAACACAUGCAAGUCGAACGCUGAAGCCCAGCUUGCUGGGUGGAUGAGUGGCGAACGGGUGAGUAACACGCGAGUAACCUGCCCCCUUCUUUGGGAUAACGCCCGGAAACGGGUGCUAAUACUGGAUAUUCACUGGCCUUCGCAUGGGGGUUGGUGGAAAGGUUUUUUCUGGUGGGGGAUGGGCUCGCGGCCUAUCAGCUUGUUGGUGGGGUGAUGGCCUACCAAGGCUUUGACGGGUAGCCGGCCUGAGAGGGUGACCGGUCACAUUGGGACUGAGAUACGGCCCAGACUCCUACGGGAGGCAGCAGUGGGGAAUAUUGCACAAUGGGCGAAAGCCUGAUGCAGCGACGCCGCGUGAGGGAUGACGGCCUUCGGGUUGUAAACCUCUUUCGCUCAUGGUCAAGCCGCAGCUUUGGGUUGUGGUGAGGGUAGUGGGUAAAGAAGCGCCGGCUAACUACGUGCCAGCAGCCGCGGUAAUACGUAGGGCGCGAGCGUUGUCCGGAAUUAUUGGGCGUAAAGGGCUUGUAGGCGGUUGGUCGCGUCUGCCGUGAAAUCCUCUGGCUUAACUGGGGGCGUGCGGUGGGUACGGGCUGACUUGAGUGCGGUAGGGGAGACUGGAACUCCUGGUGUAGCGGUGGAAUGCGCAGAUAUCAGGAAGAACACCGGUGGCGAAGGCGGGUCUCUGGGCCGUUACUGACGCUGAGGAGCGAAAGCGUGGGGAGCGAACAGG
Molecule: ribosomal RNA, 751 nt
Filed under: uncultured Actinomyces sp.
Lineage: Bacteria; Bacillati; Actinomycetota; Actinomycetes; Actinomycetales; Actinomycetaceae
Description: bacterial SSU rRNA
Rfam family: Bacterial small subunit ribosomal RNA
Source: RNAcentral